AUACGGAGGGUGCAAGCGUUAUUCGGAAUCACUGGGCGUAAAGGACGCGUAGGCGGGUUGGCAAGUCAGAUGUGAAAUCCUACAGCUUAACUGUAGAACUGCAUUUGAAACUGCUAACCUAGAGUAUGGGAGGGGGAGAUGGAAUUAGUGGUGUAGGGGUAAAAUCCGUAGAUAUCACUAGGAAUACCGAAAGCGAAGGCGAUCUCCUGGAACAUAACUGACGCUAAGGCGUGAAGGCGUGGGGAGUAAACAGGAUUAGAAACCCUAGUAGUCC
This 274-nucleotide ribosomal RNA is filed under the name uncultured bacterium. RNAcentral's name for it is "partial 16S ribosomal RNA". It matches the Rfam family "Bacterial small subunit ribosomal RNA", at positions 523 to 796 of the family's 1533-position model. The record is from RNAcentral.